Molecule: ribosomal RNA, 495 nt
Filed under: uncultured bacterium
Lineage: Bacteria
Description: bacterial SSU rRNA
Rfam family: Bacterial small subunit ribosomal RNA
Source: RNAcentral
ACGGGGCGGCGAGCUAAAGAUGCAGGCAGCUCGGACUCCAGCGGGAGUGAUGCGGCGGACGGGUGAGGAACACGUGUGCAAUCUGCCCAUUGGACUGGAAUAACGCCUGGAAACGGGUGCUAAGGUCAUAUAGGCACAGAAUAGGCCUCUCUUUUGUGGUGAAGAUGCUUUGGCAUCGCCAGUGGAGGAGCCGUCGGUGCAGUUAGCUAGUUGGAGGGGUAAAGGCCCUCCAAGGCGACGAUGCGUAGUCGACCUGAGAGGGGGAACGGCCACACUGGAGCUGAUACUCGGCCCAUACUCCUACUGGAGGCAGCAUUAGGGAAUCUUCCGCUAUGGGCUCAAGCCUGACUGAGCUACGCCGGCGUAAGCGAAGAAGGCCUUCGGGUUGUAAAGCUUAGUCGCUCGGGAAUAGCGGGUGGGAGAGGGAAGGCUCCCACCGAGAAGGUACCGGGAGAGGAAAGCCCGGGAAACUACUCGCCCAUCAGCCGCGGAUAA